This is a long non-coding RNA of Gorilla gorilla gorilla (western lowland gorilla), 1994 nucleotides long. RefSeq lists it as uncharacterized. Lineage: Eukaryota; Metazoa; Chordata; Mammalia; Primates; Hominidae. The record is from RefSeq and is a predicted model, not a curated record. The transcript is spliced from 4 exons.
GCCUUCCUCUCAGGGUCCCCAUCCUCUGUGCAGGCACAGAGCGGGUGUCAGGGAGCAAGUCUCUCAUUCAUUCAUUCCUUAAAUAUUACUUGUGCAUUAGUUGUGCAUCUAUUAUGUGCUAAGCACUGUGCAGGGCACUUGGGGUUCGCAGAGUUGAGUGGAACCAGACAUGAUCUCUGCUCUCAUGGAGCUCCCUGUGUUGUAGGGGACACAGACUUUGUUUUUUUUUCUUUUGAGACAGGCUCUGGUUCCAUCACUCAGGCUGGAGUGCAGUAACAUAAUCACAGCUCACUGCAGCCUCAAGCUCCCAGGCUCAAGCAAUCCUCCCACCUCAGCUGCCCAAGCAGCUGAGACUACCGAGGUGUGCUACCACAGCUGGCUAAUGUUUUUUUGUUUUUUUGUAGAGACAGGGUCCCACUAUGUUGCCCAGGAUGGUCUUGAACUCCUUGCCCCCGGGCAAUAUUCCUGCCUCAGCCUCCCAAAGUGUUGGGUUUACAGGUAUGAGCCACUGUGCCCAUCCUGGAUGCAAACUUUAAGCAAAGAGUCACAUCAACAAGAAGAGCUGUGAAGGUCCGGGCAUGACUCACAGAUGCCCAAACACUGCACUGGAGGUCAAGGAAGAUUCUCCUGACAAGGCAACCCUGAGCCAAGAUCUGAAGGAUAAGAGGGAGCUUAUAACAUGGAAGAAGGAACAGUAUUCCUGGCAGGUGGAACAGCAUGUGCAAAGGCCAGGUGAUGAGGACAUGGGCCCAGAGAGGUUAUGUGAGUGACACAGCUUGAAGGUGGAGUUAAGCCUGGGCAGUCUGGCUUCAGAGUGUCCACAGUCUCAACCACUGCCUCACAUGGCUUCUUAGAAAAUAUUAUAAAAAGAAGCUCGAGCUGCCAUGUGGAAAAGAAUGGAGAGGGGACAACGACACAGCUGGGAGCAUGCUAUGAUGGUGUACAGUGGACACAUUCAGGAUGAGUCUUCUAAAGCUGCAGGCCAUACUACCCCCAGGAGGCUGCAGGGAUGCCAGCCGGGAGAUGAAUGCAACUCUGCUGCCUGGGCAUUCGCCUGAGUGAGGGUGCAGACCCCUGCCUGUGAUCAUCAGGGAGGGUGAUGAGAACAAGGUGGCUGACAGGGUGAGGCCCAAGCCUGGAGCUUACCCAGGUGCGGGGAUGGGAGGGUCAGAGACCUUUGGGGGGACUUAGGGAGCUUCCCUGGCCCUAAGGGCACCGCAAGCUGCCACUUCACACUGACCUGGGCAUACGCAGCUGCAGGAUCCCUUGCUCGCUCUCUCACAAGCAAAUGUAGACUGCACAACCAUCCUGACCACAGAUCCAGAAAGCCCAGGACAUAACAGAGCCGCAGUGCCUGCCCUGAUCCACGUGGACACAGAUCUAGCCCAGGAACAAGCCCAUCCACGGAGUGAGCAGCUGACAGGGGAGCCACGAACAGCCUGGAGAGCUGAGCAUGGGCCUGCUCCACACUCCAGCGGGGCCCGAGGCCCCCGGGAACUCUACCCCUCCUGGCAGCCUCACAGAACCUGCUGCAUCCAUCUCAAAAGGCAUACCUCCUCCAGGAAGCCUUCCCCGCUGCUCAGAGGUCUUAAAUCCAGGGUCUGCACUCACAAACCGUGCAGCCUACACCAGCUUCUGGGGGACAGCAGAAUACUGUGGGGGGCCUGGCACAUGGUAGGCACUCAUCGAGCCCCUGCCAGCCCCUCUACUCCUGACUUCUGAGGCAACAGGAAAUGACCCGCCACCUUGUUCUCACAGAGCCUCCCUGCCAGCCCAGAUGGUCACAAGGGCCUCCUGGGAUGCUGCCCACCUUGGCAGCCAGGCCCCUCCGGAGGGGCCAGUCUGGGCCUGACACCCCCGAACACCAACCCCCUGGGCAGAGCCUCCCUGUGCCUGGGUGAGGAACCCUGCAUUCUCCUUGCCACACAAGGCCUGGGUCUGCCUUGGGGUCCAGGCUGCACCCUCUCCGACCCCCAGGCCCAAUGCCUGACCUG